Molecule: long non-coding RNA, 701 nt
Organism: Gallus gallus (chicken)
Lineage: Eukaryota; Metazoa; Chordata; Aves; Galliformes; Phasianidae
Source: Ensembl
GCUCUCAGCAUCACUCAUGCUGCACCACAGAAAAUAAAUCAGACUUCAUAACAUAGGCAAGAUGUUAUGAGAAACGCCCCUGAGUUCUGGUCUGAAAAUCACCAUGUCUCUGGAAAGGAGAAGGCUGGAGCACCCCUCCUACGAAGAGAGGCUGACGGAGCUGGGCUUGCUCAGCCUGGAGAAGAGAAGGCUCCAGAGAGACCUCACUGUGUUCAGCCAGUACUUAAAGGGAGAUUAUAAACAGGAGGGGAAUGAACUUUUAAAACAGAGAGAAAUGGGACUGGAGGAGGAACGUAGCCCACAGAGUGCUUCAGUAUGAUGCCAUCCCCCAACUGAGCUGUUUCUGCAUCUGGCCAUCAAAGCUCUUGUCGUGUGGACGAAAUCUUGAGACACAUUCAAGACGAUUUACUAUUCUGCUCUACAAAUUGGAUAUUUACAGGCCUGGAUUGAACAUCUAUAUUCCUCUACCCAGAAGUAGCACAUAUUGACCCAAUUUCUGUGCUUAAUAGUAUGCUGUAAAUCCAGACCAACUUCACAUAUUUCAGCAGAUUUACUUCAAGGUGACUGAGAUUAGAACAUGACGUAGAGAAAUAUGUUGCUUCAGCCACAACUAUCUUUUCACUUGUUGGUUUAACACCCCUGUGCUGCUUAAUUAGGGGAAUGCUUCAGAUCUGAUCUUAAACAAACCAAUAAACCCAAAG